UGUCUAAAUUGAGCGAUCCUGGGCUCAUUCGAUUCGUCUCGUCUAGCCGCUUGAUAAACCCUAAAGCAGCCAGCAAAACCCCAAAUAACCAGCAAAAUACAAAAAGUCAACAAAUGAACAAAAGUAAUUACCCCCCGUCUCCUUCCCUUCGCCCUCUCGGGCGCUCCUGGCAGCGGAAGUGCAGCCAAUCUUGACUUGCUCAAUUUAUCCCGUCCUCGACUGCUACGUCGAUCUCAACCUCUUCCAUCAUAGCCUUCGACUCCUCCGAUCAAAUGAGGUCCCUCACGGCCUUUCCUCGUCCUUGUCCACCGCUUCCCGUUGUGAUAGCCACUUGCUGCUGCGCCCUACAACGCUACCAUGAUCGAGAGAGCUAAGGAAAUGAGUUUCCAUCAAUAAGAGGAGAGGCGUUGAAGGAGAAGUGGCGUCGGCAAAGUAGCGAUCAUGAUAUAACAAGAUUAAGUAGCGAAGUAAGCGUUCUGUGGCAUGUGGCUGGGAGUUUGAGGAGACCAAACUCCACAGCUGCAAUGGAAAAUUGUUUGGAGAUAUUUCUUUUUCUUAGAGCAUCUCCAAUCGAACUCCAAACGCUUGUAUGGCGUCGCUCACGAGCUCCAGCCGAACGAUAAAACUUCUACUAUUCGGUUGUGGGUGAACAGUGGGACGCCAAUAUUGGCGUUGCACUUGGCGAAAAAACGCGGCCAAGAAGAAAACGACCGUUACCUUGGCAAAAUGGAAUUUGGUUGGAGUUGAAUCACUGCAUUUUUUAAUUUCACAACAUUUUGGAGUGAAAAAUGAUAUUUUCGGUUGGAGAUGCCCUUAUUGAUGGAACUGGAUCAGCAAUGGGCCCGGCAUCUUCUGAGACAUCAGCGGCCUGUUCGGCCAUCUUCCUAUGCCCUAUUCUGCCAGUUGCCCACAAAAGCAAGAACUAAUAAUGGAGGGAUCUGUCACGUUAGAUUACUUUCACUCUGAAGUGGAUAAAUUUUAGA
Molecule: long non-coding RNA, 983 nt
Organism: Dendrobium catenatum
Lineage: Eukaryota; Viridiplantae; Streptophyta; Magnoliopsida; Asparagales; Orchidaceae
Exons: 4
Source: RefSeq, a predicted model, not a curated record